Molecule: ribosomal RNA, 374 nt
Filed under: Citrobacter sp. CAS12
Lineage: Bacteria; Pseudomonadati; Pseudomonadota; Gammaproteobacteria; Enterobacterales; Enterobacteriaceae
Description: bacterial SSU rRNA
Rfam family: Bacterial small subunit ribosomal RNA
Source: RNAcentral
CUUACCUGGUCUUGACAUCCACGGAAUUUGGCAGAGAUGCCUUAGUGCCUUCGGGAGCCGUGAGACAGGUGCUGCAUGGCUGUCGUCAGCUCGUGUUGUGAAAUGUUGGGUUAAGUCCCGCAACGAGCGCAACCCUUAUCCUUUGUUGCCAGCGGUCCGGCCGGGAACUCAAAGGAGACUGCCAGUGAUAAACUGGAGGAAGGUGGGGAUGACGUCAAGUCAUCAUGGCCCUUACGACCAGGGCUACACACGUGCUACAAUGGCAUAUACAAAGAGAAGCGACCUCGCGAGAGCAAGCGGACCUCAUAAAGUAUGUCGUAGUCCGGAUUGGAGUCUGCAACUCGACUCCAUGAAGUCGGAAUCGCUAGUAAUCG